UACGGAGGAGGCAAGCGUUAUCCGGAAUUAUUGGGCGUAAAGCGUCCGCAGGUGGCUUAUCAAGUCUGCUGUCAAAGACUGGGGCUUAACCCUGGAAAGGCCGUGGAAACUGAAGAGCUAGAGUGCAGUAGGGGUAGAGGGAAUUCCCGGUGUAGCGGUGAAAUGCGUAGAGCUCGGGAAGAACAUCGGUGGCGAAAGCGCUCUGCUGGACUGCAACUGACACUCAGGGACGAAAGCUAGGGGAGCGAAUGGG
This 253-nucleotide ribosomal RNA is filed under the name uncultured bacterium. Its description in RNAcentral is "partial 16S ribosomal RNA". It matches the Rfam family "Bacterial small subunit ribosomal RNA", at positions 524 to 776 of the family's 1533-position model. The record is from RNAcentral.